AUGUUCAAAAAAAUGUUUCUCAAUCCAUAGGUCUAGACCAAAAACCUGUUGUAAAGCAGAUAAUGUAUGCAACAUGAUAAUAACAUCCGUUCAUUUUCCAGGUCCAAAUUAUAUGAGAUUGAUAACAUUUAAUUUGCUUGUAAAGCACCUAGCAUGUCUAAAGCUAUUUCUGUAUCACUUUUAUAAUUUGCAAUAGCAAACAUCAUUGUUUUUUCUAACCUGUUUAAGGCAAAGUUCUUCGUGUCAGGUGAAAUUUCUAAGUAUGUAUAAUCUGAAACGCAUUUAGGGAUUUCAG
RNAcentral lists this long non-coding RNA (295 nucleotides) under Mytilus galloprovincialis (Mediterranean mussel). The record is from RNAcentral. Lineage: Eukaryota; Metazoa; Mollusca; Bivalvia; Mytilida; Mytilidae.